RNAcentral lists this ribosomal RNA (497 nucleotides) under uncultured bacterium. RNAcentral's name for it is "partial 16S ribosomal RNA". It matches the Rfam family "Bacterial small subunit ribosomal RNA", at positions 28 to 507 of the family's 1533-position model. The record is from RNAcentral.
GAUGAACGCUGGCGGCGUGCCUAAUACAUGCAAGUCGAGCGAACAGACGAGAAGCUUUUGCCUCUCUGGUUGGCGCGUGGCGGGCGAGUGACACAUGCAUCAGCUACUUCUAUUUCGUGGGGAACACCGCGGGAAAACAUACGCUAAUACAGAAUAUGUUUAACGGCUGAUGUCCCGAGAGAUACAGACCUUUCUCGUUUCACUUAGAUGAUGCCGCGCUGGAUUAGCGGGUUGGUAAGGGAACGCCUUACCAAGGAAACGAUGCGUAGCCGACCUGAGAGGAUGAUCAGCCACACUGGAACUGAGACACGGUCCAGACUCCUACGGGAGGCAGCAGUAGGGAAUCUUCCGCAAUGGGCGAAAGCCUGACGGAGCAAUGCCGCGUGAGUGAAGAAGGUCUUCGGAUCGUAAAGCUCUGUUGUUAGGGAAGAAAAAAUGCGUGAGUAAAUAAGCAAGUCUUGACGGUACCUAAUCAGAAAGCCACGGCUAACUACGUG